Tribolium madens (black flour beetle) is the source of this 1160-nucleotide RNA transcript. RefSeq lists it as uncharacterized. Lineage: Eukaryota; Metazoa; Arthropoda; Insecta; Coleoptera; Tenebrionidae. The transcript is spliced from 3 exons. The record is from RefSeq and is a predicted model, not a curated record.
UAAAAGCUGGGAAGGAAGGAUACAACAAAACAAGAUACACCAGAGAGAAUUGAUAUUAUGAGGUUGAACCCUUUAAGCUAAAAAACUGGAUUUGUCAAAAAUUUUCCCCAGAUUAUAGGGCCAACGGGGAAUCAGUUGAUCUCAAAAAAUGCCCAGGCGAGAAAAGGAUUAUUUCAAUGGAGUCGGCGAUGGUAUUUUGUAUUUUUGAUUUAUUUUUAAUAAAGAAUAAUAAAUUGAAGUAAAACAUGUUUUCAAAAUUGCCGCCUUAUCUAGUUCUCGGGCCAGACGUUUGAUGACGCCUAAUGACGCAACUAAUCUGUGGCGCAAGACGCAACAGUUGUCAGCACGGGUAUGAAGCUGAGAUAGGCGCACUGGCAACACGAGAGUAUGGGCAAGGGGGUAUUGCACUUAAAGAGAGGUGAACAGGAAGCACCAAUAAGCGUUACGUAUUUUAAAACAAGCGCUUAAUAUUUAGGGAUUUUAUGAAUUUCUGUUUUUUGACAUAAAAAUGACAUUUACGUUUGCGCAAAAAAUACGCCAAAAAGUGCCAAACUUUUAUUGUUGUGUGUUGUCGCGUGUUAUCUAGUCUGUCGGAAUCGUUCUUUGGGCUGGAGUGGGAUUUUUGAUUUCUGCUACUCAAGUAAACUUUUGUCAUGGCUGGUUAUCGAAAAUAUUUCUGCAAGUACCCUGACUGCACCAGUGGAUACGUGCCGAACCCCGUUAAAGGACUUGCCAACAAGCACUUCUUCACGUUCCCUAAACACCCAAAGCUUUACGAAUUGUGGAGGAAUGCCUGCAAAAUUGAAGUUUCCGUAAGUUCAAAGUUUUGGCGUUUAUGUGAGGAUCAUUUAGAACUCCGCGAUUUUGAGAAUGAGACAAAGGAUAGAUUAAAUCUAAAUGUAAUUCCCAAGCCCUGUGUUUUGGCUUCACAAGAGAAGUUUGUUGACAUUUCACAAACAAAUCUUUUUGUGGCAGAUGAUACUUUUAUGGAAAAUUCUUGCAGAAAAGGUUUUAUUUUGUUUUACAUCUGGGACAGACAGGCAAAAUAUGCCAACACUGACUGAUUUUUUUGUUAUGUAAUAAUAAGUUAAUUUAAUUUUCAGAGAAAUUUGAUUUGAUGUAUUAUUUUGUUAUUGAUAGUUUACAAUAAAAAAGUUUGA